Fukomys damarensis (Damara mole-rat) is the source of this 1465-nucleotide long non-coding RNA. RefSeq lists it as uncharacterized. The transcript has 3 exons. The record is from RefSeq and is a predicted model, not a curated record. NCBI's taxonomy places the organism in Eukaryota, Metazoa, Chordata, Mammalia, Rodentia, Bathyergidae.
AGGAGUCGCCGCCCCGAGCUCCUCCCGGCCUGGCCCGCGUCCUCCUCCCGUCUCCGGGUGGCGAAAGGACGAUCAGCGCCCUGGACUGGGUGUGUGUGACCCCAGACCGUCGCUUCUGUUCUUGAGCAGGUCCUUCCUCUCGGAGGCUCAGUUUCCCCUUUGUUAAGUCCCCAUAGCACCGUCACCUCCCAGGCUUGGUAGCCUCGCCCCGAGCACAUGGCCCACGUUCAAUUUAAGGGUGUUAUUGUAAUUCCUUUUCUACUGCCUGAUCCGAAGAGGCCAUUUGUAAGACCAUUAAUCCUGAGUAUUCUUUAAAACAAAAGGCUUUGUGUGUUCCCAGGUCGAUAGAAGCUUCCUUUUUCUGAGGAUAAGCUCCAGGGUCCACCUAGUGAUUUUGGAAAAAGUGGUUUAUAAAAAUAUAAAGGAAAAGAUGGCAGAGGGUUCACCUGUAACUUUAACAGCUGAAUCUAGAGCCUGAUCAAACUGGAGAGAAGAGUGAUUACCAAGAGUUUUCUCUACCCUACCCCCCACAUAACUUUUUGUCACCAAGAAUCCGGUCUAGGGUGCAUGCAGCCUUGGGGUAUCGUUCAGCUUUGUUUUUUUCUCUUUUGCUGCCUUUCCCCGGAAACUUUCACCGUGGGUAAUGUGUAACGUGGCUAUGGCCGAGUCGUUAGUGCAGGGAUUGUCCAACCCCUGGAGUCAAGCCAGUCUCCAGCAGCUUAUAUGAGGCUGGUCUAGCAGAGGCAACAGGGCAGGACGUCUCCUGAAAAGAAAAAGAACCGUCACAUGCAGAAGAAUUACAUUUUUGGCACAAGACAGAAAGUGCUACAUUCUAGGUGAGAGACACAUGCACGGGGUUCUCUGGAUUCAGAGGAAGAUGAACCCCGCAGGCGAGCUGGCAGGAAGUCUGAUUGCAGACUGGGAGGAUGACACGGGCCAAAGGAGAGAAGAAAAACAAGGCAGCCAGAGGUACUGAAGCACUUUGCAGAGAGCUGCAGAACUUCCCAGGCUUUUCUGGAGAAAGGAAGAAAAGGAGAGUAAAGAGCAGGAAGAGAAUUGUUUAACAACUGCCUGCAGAAAGGCUGACGAGUGGAUUUGCCUAUUGAUUUUGUUUUUCCAAGUCAGGGGAAGAAGGUGGGUGCCCUUGGCCUGGCUGCUUGCUGACCUGACAUCUUCUCGGGCCUGGGUGUUGAGCCUGCUGCCCUGGGCAGCUUGAGGAGGGAAGUGGAAUGCCCUCCAAAGCGGAUGUCUAAGCACUCUGAGAGUUCGAAUGGUUUAGUUUUGCCUUUAAAGUGUUUAUAUGUAUUUACUUCUCAAAUAAGUACACUUACACGUUCAAAACUAAAAACAUAAAAAUAUAAAAAGAUAUAUACAGGACUGGGGAUUUAGCUCAGUGGUUCCACCUUCUGCCUUGCGAGUGCAAGAUCCUGAGUUCGAUCCAUUCCUAUCCCUUAUAUGUACAGUU